Molecule: ribosomal RNA, 429 nt
Filed under: Chloroflexota bacterium
Lineage: Bacteria; Bacillati; Chloroflexota
Description: Chloroflexi bacterium partial 16S ribosomal RNA
Rfam family: Bacterial small subunit ribosomal RNA
Source: RNAcentral
UAGGGAAUCUUCGGCAAUGGACGAAAGUCUGACCGAGCAACGCCGCGUGAGUGAAGAAGGUUUUCGGAUCGUAAAACUCUGUUGUUAGAGAAGAACAAGGACGUUAGUAACUGAACGUCACCUGACGGUAUCUAACCAGAAAGCCACGGCUAACUACGUGCCAGCAGCCGCGGUAAUACGUAGGUGGCAAGCGUUGUCCGGAUUUAUUGGGCGUAAAGCGAGCGCAGGCGGUUUCUUAAGUCUGAUGUGAAAGCCCCCGGCUCAACCGGGGAGGGUCAUUGGAAACUGGGAGACUUGAGUGCAGAAGAGGAGAGUGGAAUUCAAUGUGUAGCGGUGAAAUGCGUAGAUAUAUGGAGGAACACCAGUGGCGAAGGCGGCUCUCUGGUCUGUAACUGACGCUGAGGCUCGAAAGCGUGGGGAGCAAACAGG